UACGUAGGGUGCGAGCGUUGUCCGGAAUUAUUGGGCGUAAAGGGCUCGUAGGCGGUUUGUCGCGUCGGGAGUGAAAACCAUGGGCUUAACUCAUGGCUUGCUUCCGAUACGGGCAGACUAGAGGCAUGCAGGGGAGAACGGAAUUCCUGGUGUAGCGGUGAAAUGCGCAGAUAUCAGGAGGAACACCGGUGGCGAAGGCGGAUCUCUGGGCCUGUCCUGACGCUGAGGAGCGAAAGCGUGGGGAGCAAACAGG
Molecule: ribosomal RNA, 253 nt
Filed under: uncultured bacterium
Lineage: Bacteria
Description: partial 16S ribosomal RNA
Rfam family: Bacterial small subunit ribosomal RNA
Source: RNAcentral